RNAcentral lists this long non-coding RNA (578 nucleotides) under Mytilus galloprovincialis (Mediterranean mussel). The record is from RNAcentral. Lineage: Eukaryota; Metazoa; Mollusca; Bivalvia; Mytilida; Mytilidae.
GGGUUAUCACAAGAUAGCUACAAGACUCAUACAAUGGUGUGCUUUUAAUCUUCAUAUUGGCUGUCCUGUAUGUUUACAAAAAAAAACCAGUUUUCCAGGUAAUAAUAAAGUGAACAAUCAAAUAAAGUGUAGGUUUAAAAUAAGUGUAUUAGGUUUGAGUUGUUUUAUUGAUUGUUUUUUUAAGGUACUGUAACGAAAUGGGGGGUCCCUUGAAAUGGAACUUGUUUUCCCUAAAAUUGUGUGAUGAUGUUUUUAAACCUUACCAUUAAUUGACUGUUCUUUUUAUAUAUUUCUUGUAUAACUAUGUUUAAACAUUGUAAACUUUUAUUAUUCUUUCCUAUGUUUUUUUUCCAAUCGGAACACCUGUGAAUUGUUUACUUAAAAUGACGUACAAUACAAUGACGUCAUAACCUAUUUUUGUAAUGACGUCGGCUCUGGAUAAGGUAAUUUAGGUAAAUGGUAAGCCAAAAUGGUGAACGGUAAGCCAAAUCGGUAGAUUGGUUUACCUAAGUAUAAAUACGGCGGAGAAAACAGAUAAGACUCCAGUACGACUUUACCCUGGGCAAGUAACACACGCA